UACGGGGGGGGCAAGCGUUGUUCGGAAUUACUGGGCGCAAAGGGCGCGUAGGCGGCCUUCUAAGUCAGACGUGAAAUCCCUCGGCUCAACCGAGGAACUGCGUCUGAUACUGGAAGGCUUGAAUCCGGGAGAGGGAUGUGGAAUUCCAGGUGUAGCGGUGAAAUGCGUAGAUAUCUGGAGGAAUACCGGUGGCGAAGGCGGCAUCCUGGACCGGCAUUGACGCUGAGGAGCGAAAGCCAGGGGAGCAAACGGG
Molecule: ribosomal RNA, 253 nt
Filed under: uncultured bacterium
Lineage: Bacteria
Description: partial 16S ribosomal RNA
Rfam family: Bacterial small subunit ribosomal RNA
Source: RNAcentral